UGGGUUUGACAUAUACCGGAAAGCCGUAUCUCUACGGCUUUCCGGUAUAUGUCAAACCCAGGUAAGGUUCUUCGCGUUGCAUCGAAUUAAUCCACAUGCUCCGCCGCUUGUGCGGGCCCCCGUCAAUUCCUUUGAGUUUUAGCCUUGCGGCCGUACUCCCCAGGCGGGGCGCUUAAUGCGUUAGCUACGGCACGGAUCCCGUGGAAGGAAACCCACACCUAGCGCCCACCGUUUACGGCGUGGACUAC
RNAcentral lists this unclassified non-coding RNA (248 nucleotides) under uncultured Nocardiaceae bacterium. RNAcentral's name for it is "contains 16S-23S intergenic spacer region". The record is from RNAcentral. Lineage: Bacteria; Bacillati; Actinomycetota; Actinomycetes; Mycobacteriales; Nocardiaceae.